Populus trichocarpa (black cottonwood) is the source of this 1487-nucleotide long non-coding RNA. RefSeq lists it as uncharacterized. NCBI's taxonomy places the organism in Eukaryota, Viridiplantae, Streptophyta, Magnoliopsida, Malpighiales, Salicaceae. The transcript is spliced from 2 exons. The record is from RefSeq and is a predicted model, not a curated record.
CAUUGUUGUCUCUUGUUACACCAUGGUUGCUACAGGAUAAGUUGCGGGACCUUUUUGGUUUGUAAGCCAGGCUGAUUACCAGACAUUUUUGCAAAACUAACAAUGUUCUAACUUCUCUUACACUCCAUGAUUAGGCAAACAGAGCUUUCUAUACGCCUCCCUUCCUCUCCAGAACAGCUAGAAGCCUCGUUUGUAGGAACUCUUCUUGUUUUUUUUCCCCUCCUUCAUGGCAGGGGAAUGGCCAGUAAGAAUAUAGUCUCAUAUAUAAAGCGUUGAAUCGUCAUAUUAAAGCCUGAGAUAAUAUGCAUGAAUCCCAGAGAAAAUAGAAUUUUUAACACUGACAUCUCGAUCCGUUCUAAAAUUCUUAAUGAUUGUGCCGAAAAGUAAGUUAAUUUAUAUCUUUAACACCUGAAAUGGUUUGGUGCCAAUAUGUUAAAAGAGAUCGCAUCUCUAUUUUUUAGACAUCUGGUAAGUUCAUAACUUCUUCUUCCAAAGUAUAAUCUAUCUCCUUUCUGCUAUUCUAUUUUAUUUUGAUGAAAUUGAUAUAAAGACAAAUUAAAAUUUAUCCUAAGAACAAAGCAAACUCUCAUUCAAGGAUUGUGUACGGGGGCGGGUAAAAAGAUAAGGUGGAUAUAAGUCUUACCCAUGAACAAGAUAAAGUAACGGUAAAUUAUAUUCAUUGGAUUCCCCGAAAGGAAGGCUGGGUAAAGUUGAAUACAGAUGGUGCUGGUAGGCGGCAGAAUACAGGCUUGAGACGGGGUAGAACCGGUUGCGAGGCGGGGCUUCUGGAGGGAGGUGGAUUCUCAAUCAGUAAUGCAUGUCAUCACAGAUAGCAGAGACAGCAAAGGUCCUUGUGACAGGUUAUUAUUUCGUUGAGUUGCUGUCCCCUUCUGUUACUCUCUGUGUCUGACUUCUCUUUCCUUGUUAGUUAAGACUUCCAAAUUUGAACAAAUUUACAAGCAAAAACAAACUGAGGUGCAAUAACCUGUAAACAUUGAGAUAGUACCUGCACUAGGAGAACCCUUUUUUUUUUUUUUUUCCUAAAACAACAAGGUGGGCAAUUUCCCUGAAAGGCCUUCGCCACUGUUCCUCUACCAAAUGUUAUAUUGGUUUUCCCUGCUCAGAAACUUAUCAUGGAUGUGCAUUAGCAGUUCUACGUUGACCAAAAAAUUGCACUCGCUAUUAUAACAACAAAAGGAAUUACAACGACAAUGUCAACAUUCUUCUUCUUCUUCUUUUUCCAAUUAUUAUCUGUGACCAGAAAUCCAGUCGACACCAUUUUCUGAGGUUGAAAACGGAAAUGAUGAAAAAAACAACGAUGUAUUGUAAUUGGGUGACCAAAAGAAGCUCUACCUGGAUGGUGUCCAGGCAUAGAUGAGCAACCCCAAAACAAGGACGAUGGCUCCUGCUACAAAGCCAGUUGGAAGGGAGGAUGCGACUCCAAGAUAUGGCAAUGGCAGUGUGAACACAUACACAGCUAUUGGUAC